UGCAUUCUGGAAUUCUUCUCUUUCUUUUCUAGACCAAAUCCUAGUUACAUUCACCUAUCCGCUGAAUUUCUAAUAUUGAAAAAGUUUAUGUAGCAGAUCAUGUUAAUUAAGAACUAGUACAAUUUUCUUUUGUUUGUUUGUGGUAUGAGAUCAUGUUUCUUGUAUUGCUUCAGUUCUUUAAUUUGAUUGCUACAAGAGACAGCCAGUCAUAUAUUCAACUAAUGUGAAACAAUAAUAAUAAGUUCAUUCGUGAAUCAAUUGACAAAACAGAUUCAGUGCAUGUAUCCACUCUGUAAUGAGAUAUACGGAAAAAACAUUAGUGGAGGACAGGAACUCUGUAGUGAGCACCUGAGAUUGCACAGACCAGCUAACCUAGGGAUGAGCAGAAGGAUAAUUAUUUGAAUAAUUAUGUUAUCUUCUACCCUGAUCUCUCACAUAUUCUGUUAAAUUAGCUUUGUCAUGACAGACAGACCGUGGUCAGGCCUAUCCAAAUUGAAAAGAUUGUAUCUACACUCUUUCCUAGAAAUUACAUUGUGAGCUGGCUCAGAGGAAUUCAAUGAGUUAGCUAAGUUAAGGCAUGGGAACAUCACAACUGUCACCAAGCACCUUGGCUUCUGCAGCUUGAAGAGUGCUUGUUAGAAAGCAGUACUUAUUUCCUUCCUGAUAUGGUUCUCCUGUUACAUUUAAUGUGUCUGCUGCAGUGAGCAGUGAAAUGUAUUAUUUUCUGAAUCUAAGGUGGCACUGUGCUGCAGCACAGAGAUGUCCUUCUUGGAGGCUUCUUCAGGAUCUCUGCAAGGUACAACACACUUCAGCGUGACACAGAACAGCUCAAUGCACUCUACUGCAAGCUAAAUAAGGAAACAGAAAUGACCCAUAAUUUCAUGCAAUGUGCCAUUGGUGGGAAGGAAAUUGGUUUUGGUAGUAGGCUUCAGAAUAAACUGGAUGCAGAAUGAUAUUUAAGAUCUUAUCUAUCAAGUCAUGGCUGCAGAGACAAGAAAAGCAUAGGCACUGCACGAGGGCUCUAUCACAGGUUUGGCUGCUGAAGCAAAAAAUGAAAUGGAACUCUUGAGUACCCAAACACCAGUGCUUCAGAUGAGUUCCUGUGAUCUUGCUAUCACCAUAACAAGGAAUCUUCUUGCUUAUAUAUGUCUGUUUUUGCAGUUCUUGUUUGCUCAGUGGUAAGAGCAUUAUCAAUAAGAUUUUUCUGG
Gallus gallus (chicken) is the source of this 1208-nucleotide long non-coding RNA. Lineage: Eukaryota; Metazoa; Chordata; Aves; Galliformes; Phasianidae. The record is from Ensembl.